GUGAAUCAUCGAAUUUUUGAACGCAAAUUGCGCUUCCUGGUAUCCCGGGAAGUAUGCCUGUUUGAGAGUCAGUAUUAACAAAAACGCGGUUUGGUUGCAACUGGUGUUGUUUCCGGGGUUUGGUCUUUUCUUAACUUUGUUGGUUAAGUGGCUUAAAAUUUACCUUUUUUGCGCAUUUUUAGAUUUACAUAUAUUUUUUUUAUUCGUCUAUUCUUAAUGCCAAAAUCUUAUUAGAUGCGAUCACAUCGUGUGGCUUCGUGGCCAUAAAAUUUUCAUGAUUUGACCUCAAAUCAGUUAGUAG
RNAcentral lists this unclassified non-coding RNA (301 nucleotides) under Glomeromycetes sp. Its description in RNAcentral is "partial contains 5.8S ribosomal RNA and internal transcribed spacer 2". The stretch from base 1 to 71 matches the Rfam family "5.8S ribosomal RNA", at positions 84 to 154 of the family's 154-position model. Lineage: Eukaryota; Fungi; Glomeromycota; Glomeromycetes. The record is from RNAcentral.